This is a long non-coding RNA of Chinchilla lanigera (long-tailed chinchilla), 2047 nucleotides long. NCBI's taxonomy places the organism in Eukaryota, Metazoa, Chordata, Mammalia, Rodentia, Chinchillidae. The record is from Ensembl.
AAAACUCAUAUCGUCAGCUUCCUUUGGAAAACAAAUGAUUUGGCAACAGUGGACCUUCCUUCCAAACAGCAUGAAGCAACACGCACAGAAUAGAAACUGCCCACGCCCCGCCCCCACCUGCCGACCCACUCCUGACAAGGGACAGAAAGCCCCCCAGUGGAUCAGCAAGACUUCAAUAAUACAACCCAGUGCUCACCCAGUAGGCCUUAUUCAUCAUCCGACCUGCCUGAUUCCUGAAAGUAAUUGACGCUGGGACCCUCAGUGCAGGUAAUUGGAACAUGUGUGUGGUGUUUGUGCAUUUGCCUCCUGCAGAAGUCUCCUCACCCUACAUGGCCCAGGUGAAGGGAAAGACAGCACAGAUACCGGUGGAUAACUGAGAUCUUUGCAGGCUUAUAGGGCUUAUCAGGAAAGCAGCAGAGUGAGCAGGAGGCCUGGGAGCCGCUGCGGGGCCUGCUUUGGGCUAUAUUCACAAAACAAGGAGCAGAUGCAACAAGAACCCUGAAGAUUUCUAAGAAAAAUGACGAUAGCGUGUUCCACACAUCCCCUCAAUGGAAGGCCUGGAAACAACACACAUUCCUCCAGUAGAGUCGCUUAACCUUACUUGUUUCCACAAAGUGUCUUCUACUUCACCCUGCUGUUCUAGCCCGUUACUUCUUGGUGACCUGGGACAAGGUAACCUCUAGGCCCUCGUGGACCCCAGACUAACUGAUCCUGGAGAGCAAAACACUACAAAGCCAAGCUGUCUGUGGGCUGGUUCCCCGCACUCACGUGAUGAGGGUGAAAAGCAUACUGCCCGUUUUUUGUUUUUUCUUAGUUCUUAGAGGUGACCAAAGCUCAGCCUACAGUGGGGUCACAGACACUGGAGGAAUUUUCCCACAUCCCAAGCACUUAACACCAGAAAGUCCGUUCUGCUCCUGUUAGCUGUGAGAUCUUUGGCAACCUACAUUUCCUCUUAAAGCUGCAUCUAUAAAGCAGGCAAGAGACUCCUGACCCAGAUGCUAUUCUAAAGACUAAGCAGGAGAACAGGAAAAGUGCUUUGCACUGUCUGCAGCACAGAAAGAACUCUGUUCCCACAAUGUAUUGUUUAAAAUCUGAUAUCUACACAUCUUCAUAAAAGCACAGACUGUCAAGAUUGGAGAAGUCAUUGGAGACCCUAUAGUUCACCAAACUUAUGAGAAAAGCAGGUUCCUCCCCUGUAAAAUGAGGUGAUGGCCUCAAGCUGCAGCGUGUGGUCUCAUCAGUCUAGGGCUUUGUCAAUGCCUUUAUUGUGUGAAGCAAGGCACACCUGCAGCACCAGCACGGAUUUGCCCGUGGGGUAGGCCUUGCUGUUAUGCUAAACAGUCCCCUUCCCUGCAGUUGCGGCCCACUACUUAACAGUCAGCACUUAAGAGGCCCCUGGGUGAAGCUCAGAGACAAAUGAGCUUGGAACACAUGUGGGAGCACAGGAUUUACAUCCUUUCUCUCUUUGCCAGAGUCGCAGGCGUGUAAGGAGAGGGAUGGACAGCUCCGAGGUUGGAGUUCAGCGCAGCUGUGAAAACAGGCUGUCCCCGCAGCUUCGCCCAGCUCUUUGGCACAAAGAGGCCUUCCAGCAGCUUUGAGCAAAGGAAGCGCGACUCUGAAAUGCAGAAAGCAAAGCUAAAAGCUGCUCUUGUAUGACCUCAUAGCCAACCAAGUCUUCCUUCCUUUCUUUGAAGUUGGGUGAGAUUGGAGUCAUGUGGGCUUAAGGGGGGAAAUAAAAUCUCUAAAGAAGAUUUUGUUGUGCACCACGAUCUCCACCUCACAGGGCCUGCUGACUGCAAGCAGACUUAAAACACAGAAACAGCCAAAGGGUCUGCUGACAGAUGAAUGGAAAAAGAAAUUGUGGUCAUAUUUACAUGCAUAAUGUAGUAUUCUCCCAUCUUUUAAAAGGAGAUUUACUGUUUACAGCAGUAGAGAAGAACUUGGAAGGUAUUAUACAUGUCACUAUGUAUAUCAAAACAACUUGUUGUGCGUACUUUAAAAAUACACAAUUACAUAAAAGUCCGAGCAGGAUUUCACAAUCUAAAAC